Transfer RNA from Botryobasidium botryosum FD-172 SS1, 87 nucleotides. It matches the Rfam family "tRNA". From Rfam's summary of the family: Transfer RNA (tRNA) molecules are approximately 80 nucleotides in length. The record is from Rfam. Lineage: Eukaryota; Fungi; Basidiomycota; Agaricomycetes; Cantharellales; Botryobasidiaceae.
GGGCAUGUAGCGCAGUGGUAGCGCGUCCGCUUUGCAUUGGAAUUACAUGCGUGCGGAAGGACCAGGGUUCAAUCCCCUGCUUGUCCA